This 2560-nucleotide long non-coding RNA is filed under the name Homo sapiens (human). RNAcentral describes it as "non-protein coding lnc-TNFRSF13B-3:6". The record is from RNAcentral. Lineage: Eukaryota; Metazoa; Chordata; Mammalia; Primates; Hominidae.
ACCGAGGGCCGCCGAGCGCAAGAAGACACACACGAGGCUCAGGACAUAUCAGGAACUUGCCUGUGGUCACAAUUAUAGAUCCUACAAGUGAAGAUUUGAGCCCACACAGGCCAGCACCGGAGCUGCCUGGGCCAGGGGCAGUCAUCAAUUUUGAAUUUUUUUCGGCUGAGCACUUAGACAGCACCUGUCAGCAUUCAAGAAUUCACAACCAUCGAGCACUGACAGUGUGCCAGGCUGUGUGCCGUGUGCUGGGCAUUCGUCACGUCGAAUCUCACUAAGUCCAGCUGUCAUCAUUUGAAAUUAGCUCUGGCAGCGCUGGUGGUGUCUGAUGGGAGUCCUUAGUGCCCACCCCCCAUCAUCCAUCAAUCCCCUGAAAGCCACCCCAAAUAAAUAUAUACUUUGUUAAUGUAGCUUCAAGAAAAAUCUCCUAACCCCUUUCCAGUUGCCACCCCAGAAUUAGUAUUAUCCUCAGCUUACAGAUGAGAAAACUGAGGCACGGACAAGGCAAGUAUUCAAGGUCAUACAACAGUAAAUGGUAAGCCUGGGAUUCAGACAUGGGCAGUAUCUUCGUGAGCACUGCUCUACACAACCUCCAGCCCAGGGAGCUGCACGUGGCCCUGACAGCAUCGGGGGCUGGGCCCCACCCUUCCCUGGAAGCAAGACCACAAGAUCUCGGAGGCCCUUUCCAGCUGUGACGCCAUGAGGCUUUUCUACAGCAGGCACCAAAUGACAAUAGUCUCCAGAUGUGCACUAGGAGAGAAUGUAGUGCACUUGACACAGAAAGUCCACCAGAAGGAGAAAAUCAUAUAAUGAAGGUGGAUGUAUCCAUUACCCAGCUUCCAUAUCAACUCAGGACAAGUCUUGUUUCAACCAUACUCCCUCAUCUACUGUGUGUGUCUGUAAAAGAUAAGAACUAUUUUCAAAAAGUAGCCACAAUACCAUUAUCAUACCUAAAAAAACAAUAAUUCUUUAAUAUCAUUAAAUGCCCAGUGAGUGAUUUCCAGUUAUCUCCUAAAAACAGAAAUUAUUUUUGUAAUAAGAAAAAAAAGGCUGAAAAAGAUAAAAUUGUCAAUCCAAAGAGCAGAUUAGUACAAGUUUCCUGGAGCUUUGUUUAGUGAUACUUAUCAAGAGCCUUAACAAUGUGCUUACCUUUUGCCCUAGUAAUCCCAACCUGUGAAUUUAUUCUAAGAAGAAAAAAGAACAUUGAAGAGGUAUACAAACAUUGUUCACUAGAGUGUGCAGUGUCUGUUACAGAGAAGUUGUUUGAAAACUAUUUGUUGAGGCCAGAUGUGGUGGCUUACAUCUGUAAUACUAGUACUUUGGGAGACUGAGGCAGGAGGAUUGCUUGAGGCCAGGAGUUCCAGACCAGCCUGAGCAACAUAGCAAUACCCCAUCUCUACAAAAACAUUUUUUAAAAAUUAGCCAGGCAUGGUGGCUCAUGCCCAUAAUUCUAACUACUUGGGAGGCCAAGACAGGAGGGUUGCUUGAACCUAGGAUUUCAAGGCUAUAGUGAGCUGUGAUCACAUCACUAAAACUCCAGCCUGGAUGACAGAGCAAGACCCUAUCUCAAAAGAAAAAAAAACAAACCACAAUUUUUUUUGAAUUUGAAGUUGAGCUCCUGCUGUGGUUUGCAGCUUUGUUUGUAAAAGAAAAGCUGAAAGUCAUGGAAGUGUGUGACAUUAGGGUACUGGCUAAAUAAAUGAGGGCAGAUCCAUAAAAUGAAACAUUGUUCUGUCAUGUAAAAUCAGAUUCUAAUAAUACACAUAGAUAACCACCGCUUCCAAGAGGCAGAACUUCAUCCUCAUCCUCUAAUGGACUAUGGAAAGAAGAAAAACAGUCCUUUUACAGUGAAGAAACUCAGCAGAUGCUCCCUCAACAUCGCUGGUGGUAAGUCUUGUGGCUACUGGGUACCCCCUGAUACAAUGACAGGGGCACCUCACCUCUGUGAUCUUUUACCCAAAAACUAAUAACCUCAGUCUCAUGAGAAAAACAUCAGACAAACUCAGAUGAGGGGCAUUCUACAAAAUACGUGAGCAGCACUCUUCGAAUGUGUCAAGGUCGUGAAAAACAAGAAAAGACUCAGAACUGUUAGGGACCAGAGGAGCCUCAGGAGAUGACGGAGACUGAAUGCCAUGUGGGAUGCCGGAUGAGAUCAUGGAACAGAAAAAGGGCAUUAGUGGGAAACUGGCGAAAUCCUAAUAGAGUCUGUCGUCCAGCUAAUAAUGUUUUACUAAUGUUAACUUUUUAGUUUUGACAAAUGUAGCAUGAUUAUGUAAGAUGUUCACAUUAGGGGAAGGUGGGGGAAGAGUAUGGGAACUUUGUGGAACUUUGCUGUAAAUCUAAAAUCACUAAACAAAAAUUAUUCAAAAAAUCAGGGUGUAGAUAUUUAUUAGUAUAGAAAUGUAUUCACAACAUAUUAAGGGGAAAGUAUGUAUGGCCUCACAUAGUUUUUGCUGAAUGAGACCGUAUUUGUAAAAACUCUAAUAACAAGGUGUAUGUCUACAUGAAUGUGUAUAUAUGCACAUGUAGGCUGGGCACGGUGGCUCAUGCCUGUAAUCCC